UACGUAGGGGGCAAGCGUUGUCCGGAAUUAUUGGGCGUAAAGAGCGCGUAGGCGGUCCGGUAAGUCCGCUGUGAAAGUCGGGGGCUCAACCCUCGAAUGCCGGUGGAUACUGUCGGGCUAGAGUCCGGAAGAGGCGAGUGGAAUUCCUGGUGUAGCGGUGAAAUGCGCAGAUAUCAGGAGGAACACCGAUGGCGAAGGCAGCUCGCUGGGACGGUACUGACGCUGAGGAGCGAAAGCCAGGGGAGCAAACGGG
RNAcentral lists this ribosomal RNA (253 nucleotides) under uncultured bacterium. RNAcentral describes it as "partial 16S ribosomal RNA". It matches the Rfam family "Bacterial small subunit ribosomal RNA", at positions 524 to 776 of the family's 1533-position model. The record is from RNAcentral.